AAGGCGCUUGAGAGAACUCGGGAGAAGGAACUCGGCAAAUUGACACCGUAACUUCGGAAGAAGGUGUGCCCUAUUAGUGUGAAGUGAACAACGGAGCAUGAAUGGGUUGCAAAAAAUCGGUGGCUGCGACUGUUUAUUAAAAACACAGCACUCUGCAAACACGAAAGUGGACGUAUAGGGUGUGACGCCUGCCCGGUGCUGGAAGAUUAAAUGAUGGGGUGCAAGCUCUUGAUUGAAGUCCCAGUAAACGGCGGCCGUAACAAUAACGGUCCUAAGGUAGCGAAAUUCCUUGUCGGGUAAGUUCCGACCUGCACGAAUGGCGUAACGAUGGCCACACUGUCUCCUCCCGAGACUCAGCGAAGUUGAAAUGUUUGUGAUGAUGCAAUCUCCCCGCGGAAAGACGGAAAGACCCCAUGAACCUUUACUGUAGCUUUGUAUUGGACUUUGAACAGAUCUGUGUAGGAUAGGUGGGAGGCUUUGAAGCAGGGUCGCUAGAUCUUGUGGAGCCAACGUUGAAAUACCACCCUGGUGUGUUUGAGGUUCUAACCUAGGUCCAUUAUCUGGAUCGGGGACAGUGCAUGGUAGGCAGUUUGACUGGGGCGGUCUCCUCCCAAAGUGUAACGGAGGAGUUCGAAGGUACGCUAGUUACGGUCGGACAUCGUGACGAUAGUGCAAUGGCAUAAGCGUGCUUAACUGCGAGACUGACAAGUCGAGCAGAUGCGAAAGCAGGACAUAGUGAUCCGGUGGUUCUGUAUGGAAGGGCCAUCGCUCAACGGAUAAAAGGUACUCUGGGGAUAACAGGCUGAUACCGCCCAAGAGUUCAUAUCGACGGCGGUGUUUGGCACCUCGAUGUCGGCUCAUCUCAUCCUGGGGCUGUAGCCGGUCCCAAGGGUAUGGCUGUUCGCCAUUUAAAGAGGUACGUGAGCUGGGUUUAAAACGUCGUGAGACAGUUUGGUCCCUAUCUUCCGUGGGCGCUGCAGAUUUGAGGAAGCCUGCUCCUAGUACGAGAGGACCGGAGUGGACGCACCUCUGGUGUAUCGGUUGUCACGCCAGUGGCAUUGCCGAGUAGCUAUGUGCGGAAGAGAUAACCGCUGAAAGCAUCUAAGCGGGAAACUCGUUCCAAGAUGAGAUCUGCCGGGGCCUUGAGCCCCCUAAAGAGUCGUUCAAGACCAGGACGUUGAUAGGUCAGGUGUGGAAGCGCAGUAAUGCGUUAAGCUAACUGAUACUAAUUGCUCGUGCGGCUUGACCCA
This 1250-nucleotide ribosomal RNA is filed under the name metagenome. RNAcentral describes it as "bacterial LSU rRNA". It matches the Rfam family "Bacterial large subunit ribosomal RNA", at positions 1683 to 2925 of the family's 2925-position model. The record is from RNAcentral.